GCUGUUUUGGCUCAGUGGAUAGAGCGUCAGGCUGCAGACUGAAGGGUCUCGGGUUCAAUUCCGAUCAAAGGCA
Myotis lucifugus (little brown bat) is the source of this 73-nucleotide non-coding RNA. Lineage: Eukaryota; Metazoa; Chordata; Mammalia; Chiroptera; Vespertilionidae. The record is from Rfam.